Molecule: long non-coding RNA, 1020 nt
Organism: Andrographis paniculata
Lineage: Eukaryota; Viridiplantae; Streptophyta; Magnoliopsida; Lamiales; Acanthaceae
Exons: 4
Source: RefSeq, a predicted model, not a curated record
GUUCUUGAUCCAACUAUAUAGAUGAUAUUGAUUUCUGAGUUGAGCUUCAAUCUUAACUGUAGUAUCUGUAGAACGGAUGAUAGCAUGCAUAUUGAAGCAUAUUUCAGACAAAAGCUUCAAAAAAGAUAAUGGAUGGAUAGUGAAGAUAAGAUAAGAAGAAAUGGCUUCAGGGAGGUCAGGUCAGGACAGACAGACAGACAGACUUAUGAUUGAUUCCACACGUGACUCUCGCGUGUUCCCCACCCCUCUUUCACAGGACAGAUCAGAGAUGAUGACAACAAACCAACCCCUUACUCAGAGAGCUUGGUCCAUCCAUCAAUGGCAGACUGUGACUGGUCUCAACCAGGAAGCCCAGCCCCCCAAAUUUCUUGAAAAUCAAGCAACCCCACCUACUUAAAUGGUAAAGAAGCAUUCAAUUCCAGCUAACUGCUACUGCUUGCUGCCAGUCCUAUAACCCUACCCCUCUACCUCUACCCCACCCAAUCUCCAAAUAUUUUUUUAUUUUAUUUAUAUUUAACAAGGGUAGUUGAUCUUUGCGUGUUCAAACUACCAUUGCUCCUCCGAAUAGACAUCUCUCUGCUAUUAAAGGAGAAGCCAUAAUCAAACAUGGAAUCCCCUGGACCUGGAGCAGGGGCUUCCAGGGUAGAGUACACAAAUAAGCCCUGAUAAGUGAUCAAUCACUCGCAGGAGCUCUAGACCAGGGAGCAGCCAAGAUGAUGUGCUUGCCCCAAAAUUUCAUUUACCAUUUUAUUUGGGAGGAAAAAUCUCCACCGGGCUUUUUACAGUUAAACCAAAUCUUUCACCUGCCCGUUUCAAGCUCCCUGGGUGGUAUUUCAGUGUAGUGGUCCCAGGAGUCCAAGUCCCGGACGCAUCCUGGCCGUUGAUCGGGGGGGAUGUUUGCAGAAUGUGGAAAUUUACAGUAAGAGCUUUAUUAUGCGUACAGGAUUGUACAAUAUCAUUACUAUUACUAUUAUUAUUAUUAUUAUUAAAUCAGAAACAAUAUACCACCUCACCACCCAA